Molecule: transfer RNA, 72 nt
Filed under: Ictidomys tridecemlineatus (thirteen-lined ground squirrel)
Lineage: Eukaryota; Metazoa; Chordata; Mammalia; Rodentia; Sciuridae
Description: Spermophilus tridecemlineatus (thirteen-lined ground squirrel) tRNA
Rfam family: tRNA
About the family: Transfer RNA (tRNA) molecules are approximately 80 nucleotides in length.
Source: Rfam by way of RNAcentral
GGAGAUGUAGCUCAAUGAUACAUCACCUGAUUAGCAUACUGGAGACCCUGGGUUCAAUUCCCAGCAGCCCUA